CGCACCUACCGAUUGAAUGUUUCGGUGAAGAUUUCGGACCACAACUUGCGCGCUUCACGGCGCUCUCGCCGCGGGAAGUUAUCUAAACCUCAACAUUUAGAGGAAGGUGAAGUCGUAACAAGGUUUCCGUAGGUGAACCUGCGGAAGGAUCAUUA
This 155-nucleotide ribosomal RNA is filed under the name Ascophyllum nodosum. Its description in RNAcentral is "partial 18S ribosomal RNA". It matches the Rfam family "Eukaryotic small subunit ribosomal RNA", at positions 1677 to 1831 of the family's 1831-position model. The record is from RNAcentral. Lineage: Eukaryota; Phaeophyceae; Fucales; Fucaceae.